UCCAGGUCCCGGAGGGCGCGAGCCCGCUAACCCGGUCAGGACCCCGCAGGUAGCAGCCGCGUGUGGUGUCUCACGUAGCUCCGUCAGACCUGGAGUA
Molecule: signal recognition particle RNA, 97 nt
Filed under: Gemmatirosa kalamazoonensis
Lineage: Bacteria; Pseudomonadati; Gemmatimonadota; Gemmatimonadia; Gemmatimonadales; Gemmatimonadaceae
Description: Gemmatimonadetes bacterium KBS708 Bacterial small signal recognition particle RNA
Rfam family: Bacterial small signal recognition particle RNA
About the family: The signal recognition particle (SRP) is a universally conserved ribonucleoprotein involved in the co-translational targeting of proteins to membranes. Archaeal SRP consists of a 7S RNA and homologues of the eukaryotic SRP19 and SRP54 proteins.
Source: Rfam by way of RNAcentral